Molecule: ribosomal RNA, 253 nt
Filed under: uncultured bacterium
Lineage: Bacteria
Description: partial 16S ribosomal RNA
Rfam family: Bacterial small subunit ribosomal RNA
Source: RNAcentral
UACGUAGGUGGCAAGCGUUGUCCGGAUUUAUUGGGUUUAAAGGGUGCGUAGGUGGCCCUGUAAGUCAGUGGUGAAAUAUCUCAGCUUAACUGAGAGGGUGCCAUUGAUACUGCAGGGCUUGAGUACAGAUGAGGUAGGCGGAAUUGACGGUGUAGCGGUGAAAUGCAUAGAUAUCAAGAGGAACACCUGAGGUGAAGACGGGUUGCUGGGCCAACACUGACGCUGAGGCGCGAAAGCCAGGGGAGCAAACGGG